RNAcentral lists this transfer RNA (75 nucleotides) under Methanoculleus sp. RNAcentral describes it as "tRNA-Ile". It matches the Rfam family "tRNA". Rfam says of the family: Transfer RNA (tRNA) molecules are approximately 80 nucleotides in length. Their secondary structure includes four short double-helical elements and three loops (D, anti-codon, and T loops). Lineage: Archaea; Methanobacteriati; Methanobacteriota; Methanomicrobia; Methanomicrobiales; Methanomicrobiaceae. The record is from RNAcentral. RNAcentral also lists the same sequence under 1 other name.
GGGCCCGUAGCUUAGUCCGGUCAUAGCGCCCGGCUCAUAACCGGGUGAUCGUGGGUUCAAAUCCCUCCGGGCCCA